CAGUAGCCACGGUAAUACGUAGGGUGCAAGCGUUAAUCGGAAUUACUGGGCGUAAAGCGUGCGCGGGCGGUUUGUUAAGACAGAUGUGAAAUCCCCGGGCUCAACCUGGGAACUGCAUUUGUGACUGGCAAGCUAGAGUGUGGCAGAGGGGGGUGGAAUUCCGCGUGUAGCAGUGAAAUGCGUAGAUAUGCGGAGGAACACCGAUGGCGAAGGCAGCCCCCUGGGCCAACACUGACGCUCAUGCACGAAAGCGUGGGGAGCAAACAGGAUUAGAUACCCCUGUAGUCCCUGUCUCUUAUAC
RNAcentral lists this ribosomal RNA (301 nucleotides) under uncultured bacterium. RNAcentral describes it as "partial 16S ribosomal RNA". It matches the Rfam family "Bacterial small subunit ribosomal RNA", at positions 509 to 807 of the family's 1533-position model. The record is from RNAcentral.